Molecule: ribosomal RNA, 254 nt
Filed under: uncultured bacterium
Lineage: Bacteria
Description: partial 16S ribosomal RNA
Rfam family: Bacterial small subunit ribosomal RNA
Source: RNAcentral
UACAGAGGUCUCAAGCGUUGUUCGGAUUCAUUGGGCGUAAAGGGUGCGUAGGCGGGUCUUUAAGUCAGGGGUGAAAUCCUGGAGCUCAACUCCAGAACUGCCUUUGAUACUGAGGAUCUUGAGUUCGGGAGAGGUGAGUGGAACUGCGAGUGUAGAGGUGAAAUUCGUAGAUAUUCGCAAGAACACCAGUGGCGAAGGCGGCUCACUGGCCCGAUACUGACGCUGAGGCACGAAAGCGUGGGGAGCAAACAGGG